Molecule: transfer RNA, 71 nt
Filed under: Loxodonta africana (African savanna elephant)
Lineage: Eukaryota; Metazoa; Chordata; Mammalia; Proboscidea; Elephantidae
Rfam family: tRNA
About the family: Transfer RNA (tRNA) molecules are approximately 80 nucleotides in length. Their secondary structure includes four short double-helical elements and three loops (D, anti-codon, and T loops).
Source: Rfam by way of RNAcentral
GCAGUGGUGGUUCAGUGGUAGAAUGAUUAUACUCCAUGUGGGAGACCCGGGUUGGAUUCCUGGCCUCUGCA